RNAcentral lists this ribosomal RNA (305 nucleotides) under uncultured bacterium. RNAcentral's name for it is "bacterial SSU rRNA". It matches the Rfam family "Bacterial small subunit ribosomal RNA", at positions 333 to 631 of the family's 1533-position model. The record is from RNAcentral.
AGUUGCCUACGGGAGGCAGCAGUAGGGAAUUUUCGUCAAUGGGCGCAAGCCUGAACGAGCACUGCCACGUGCACGCGGCAGGUCUUCGGAUCGUAAAGUUCUGUUGAAGGGGAAAAAGAGCGGAGAGAGGAAAUGAACUCCGAUUGAUAUUACCCUUCGAGGAAGUCACGGCUAACUACGUGCCAGCAGCCGCGGUAAUACGUAGGUGGCGAGCGUUAUCCAGAAUGAUUGGGCGUAAAGGGUGCGUAGGCGGCCUGCUAAGUCUGGAGUGAAAGGUACCGGCUCAACCGGUACAGGCUCUGGAA